GUGACCUGGGAGGCUCCAGCCGACCCCCCCCUGGAGAACCUUCUCUUCAGUGCCACGUUUGUGAAGAACUAUGCAGAGUUCUGGUGGGGUGUGAACAGCUCUGUUGUCCGUUCCUCAGGUUCUCCUGGUUCCUCUGCUCCUACCAUCUCCGCUUGCCUGGCUUUGCUGUGGGCCACGGUGGUCUGUCUUUCUGUCUACAACUGACACACACAAACACGCAAAACACACACACUUCACAGAUAUACACACACAUGUAAAACAUUCACACACAUUGUAAGCAAACCCAAAAAUCUUGAAACCUCACUCGAGACAUAGACAGAA
Long non-coding RNA from Hypomesus transpacificus, 321 nucleotides. RefSeq lists it as uncharacterized. Lineage: Eukaryota; Metazoa; Chordata; Actinopteri; Osmeriformes; Osmeridae. The record is from RefSeq and is a predicted model, not a curated record. The transcript has 3 exons.